This 307-nucleotide unclassified non-coding RNA is filed under the name Hevea brasiliensis (rubber tree). The record is from RNAcentral. Lineage: Eukaryota; Viridiplantae; Streptophyta; Magnoliopsida; Malpighiales; Euphorbiaceae.
UUUUUUUUUUUUUUUUUUUUGGAAGUUUUAAGAGCUACAAAUUAAUCAUUGGACAAAAAAAGUUCACCAGGGACGAAGAAAAAAAAAAGUGAUCUGAUCUCUCUAGGAUAUAAUCUUUUAGCUGGGGGUUCUGAGAAGUUGGAAUCUCUUAAUUAGCAAAUGUAAUUAACUUUAGUGUCUUAAAACCCAUUCUGAUUGAAAUAAUUAAGCAUUUCCUUUCUUUAGUUGUAUAAUUUUUAUUUAUCAUUUUCUGAUAAUACUAACUCUGCUAAUAAGUCAUCUUUGUGUACACUAACAUUGGUGUGCG